CUUAUAGCUUACAAUAAAGCGUAGCACUGAAGAUGCUAAAACGGCCCCUAAUUACGUGCCUGAGAACA
RNAcentral lists this transfer RNA (68 nucleotides) under Pterocles gutturalis (yellow-throated sandgrouse). RNAcentral describes it as "tRNA-Phe". The record is from RNAcentral. Lineage: Eukaryota; Metazoa; Chordata; Aves; Pterocliformes; Pteroclidae.